AAGGAUAAGGAAGAAGCCUGAGAAGGUUUCUGACUAGGUUGGGCAAGCGUUUAUAUGUAAGAGCAAGCAUUCUAUUUCAUUUGUGUUGUUAAGAGUAGCGCGGUGAGGACGAGACAUAUAGUUUGUGAUCAAGUAUGUUAUUGUAAAGAAAUAAUCAUGGUAACAAGUAUAUUUCACGCAUAAUAAUAGACGUUUAAGAGUAUUUGUCUUUUAGGUGAAGUGCUUGCAUGGAUCUAUAGAAAU
RNAcentral lists this unclassified non-coding RNA (243 nucleotides) under Chlamydia trachomatis. The record is from RNAcentral. Lineage: Bacteria; Pseudomonadati; Chlamydiota; Chlamydiia; Chlamydiales; Chlamydiaceae.